CUAGAGCAAUUUCCUAGACGGUGGAUCACUCGGCUCGUGGAUCGAUGAAGAACGCAGAAAAUGCGCGUCGAAGUGUGAACUGCAGGACACAUGAACAUCGACGUUUCGAACGCCCAUUGCAGCCCACGGAUUCUGUUCCCGGGCCACGCCUGGCUGAGGGCCGGC
This 165-nucleotide ribosomal RNA is filed under the name Anax ephippiger. RNAcentral describes it as "5.8S ribosomal RNA". It matches the Rfam family "5.8S ribosomal RNA". Rfam says of the family: 5.8S ribosomal RNA (5.8S rRNA) is a component of the large subunit of the eukaryotic ribosome. The record is from RNAcentral. Lineage: Eukaryota; Metazoa; Arthropoda; Insecta; Odonata; Aeshnidae.